This 1892-nucleotide unclassified non-coding RNA is filed under the name Megachile rotundata (alfalfa leafcutting bee). RNAcentral describes it as "uncharacterized LOC105663394, transcript variant X1". Lineage: Eukaryota; Metazoa; Arthropoda; Insecta; Hymenoptera; Megachilidae. The record is from RNAcentral.
CGGAGAAUGAUUCAAGCGCUUGUGGCACUUCUUGAGAAUUGAACAACGCUGAAAACUCCCUAAAUACAUCGUGAAGAAAUACAACAAAAGGGACAACGUUUUCGAGAGACAAAAGAUGCCGAUAGGGAGUGUCACCUUUGGUUCAGUAUGUAGUCUGUGUUCCCGCCAAACUUGUCCCGGUAAAAUAGACACGGUCACUCUUGUAUAUAUCUUUGGCAGGUUAGUCAAUUUAUGAAUUCCUAUAAACACAAGUUUUAACCGGUGUGUCGAAAGCACUGAUGGAUGUCACUUAAAAUGUAUUCAAUAUACACUGCUAUUGAGCUAGUAUCCUUUCUAAAAGUGCAUCUCAAUUCGAGUAACACGGUUGGAAGAAUUGUAACCCAAUUGCCUUUUUAUGGUACAUUAUUGACGCUAUCUGUAUUAUCUUUCUACUACACCAUUUGAAUGAUAUGCUGUGAAGUGACAAAAACAGUAAAUAUCUAGUUAUCAGAAAUAUAGAAAAUACCAUUUUCCGUCGCCAGUGGAAUUUUGAGAAAAAGUAAUAUUUUUUCAUAAUUUUCUUCGCAGAUUAUUUUCAGAACUCGAAUCUAUUUCGGUAUAGAGCCCGAUUUUGCUAAAAUAAUCCGUGGCAAAUUUUCUUCUAUUUAAAACUUUAGUUUCUUGUUCGUGAAAUUUUAAGAAUAAAAUAAUAAGCUCGUGCUCUGUAUCGACAUAAAUUAACGUUCAUGGCGAAUUUCAUGGAAUUUCAAAGAAAUCAUGGAGAAAUAUUACUUUUUCGCAAUAUGCCAAUAGCAAGGAGACUUCAGUACAGGACGCUGUAUCCCGAACUACUGAUAGUAACGCGAUUAACGUCCUUGAAGGAAAAACAUAUGCAAGUUUCUACGCCUUCUUGUAACAGUCCCUUGGGAAACAAUGUUUGUCACUGUGAAGAGAAAAAGAAAGAUGAAUCGAAGGAAUCCGAUUGUGUUACGAACACCAGUUUAGGGUAAAACGUUCAAAGCACAACAUUAAAGAGAAUGAAAGAAUCAUUCAAGUUAUUUUUGCAUAAUAAUCUUUUACGCGUUUUCGCUUGUUUAUCCAUGGUUAUUAUAGUAGGAAGUUACUUAAAAGUGACAAAAAAAUAUUGUAGUGAAAAGUGGUAAUGAAAAGUGUUAGCGAAGCAAAGUUCACUCAUCCGGCUGUGACAUCAGCUGUUAUAUAAUGAGUACCUGUUUUACGGUAGGUUAAGACCAGCGAAACAAUCCAGUCACGAAGAUAUAUUUUCACCGGAGGUAGAAUUUUUUAAACAGUAGAUUUGUUUUCGAAGAGAGUCAGCCCUUUUCAUGCGAUAAUCUGUGACGUUUUUAACAAUUGAACAAUAUCAGAUGUUUAUUGUUUCAUCGGUAGCCAGGGAAGGUCCAGCAAACAGAUAUAAAUCCGCCGCGGUACCUGUCGUUGCUAUACGGAGCAUGGGUUUCUAUGGCCAAUGAAACUUUUAGCCGAAGGAUUUGGUAUUUCUGAAAAGCUGAUUUUGGUAGUCCUGUAAAGAGCUGAGAAUUUGAACAGUGUGCUGCUGUUGUUUCUUGGUUUUUUAUACGUUGCUAAAGUGGAACUGGGAAAUUUCAGAAAUUUGUAUUGGUCGUCGUAAUCCGAACAAGGGUAAGUAAGUAAAUUAUUCCAAAAUAUACUGUUGCAGGAAAGUAAGUAUAAAUAAGUAUAUGGUAAGUGUAUUAUUGUUUCCCUUUUUGAACAUUUGUAAAAUUUAUUUUUUAUAAGUAUGAAUGUUAAUCCUAUUAAUGUUAUAAACAUUUUAAUGAAAAUAUUUAUCUGUAAUAAGCAGGAAGAACACAUAAAUCGAAACAUUAUAUACAUAUUUCCAUACUUGAGAAGCAGAUGAAAAGGAAGGGUACUAA